GCGGGAGUAGCUCAGCGGUAGAGCAUCACCUUGCCAAGGUGAGGGUCGCGGGUUCAAGCCCCGUCUCCCGCC
RNAcentral lists this transfer RNA (72 nucleotides) under bacterium. Its description in RNAcentral is "tRNA-Gly". It matches the Rfam family "tRNA". Rfam says of the family: Transfer RNA (tRNA) molecules are approximately 80 nucleotides in length. Their secondary structure includes four short double-helical elements and three loops (D, anti-codon, and T loops). RNAcentral also lists the same sequence under 2 other names. The record is from RNAcentral.